AUCGUACCCAGAACCAACACAGGUGCUCGAGUCGAGUAGACUAAGGCGGUUGAGAGAACUAUGUUGAAGGAACUAGGCAAAAUACAUCCGUAACUUCGGGAUAAGGAUGACCUCCUUCAAGGCAACUUUAAUGAGGUGACACAAACCAGGUGGGGGCGACUGUUUACUUAAAACCCAGGUCUCUGCUAAAUCGUAUAAGAUGAUGUAUAGGGACUGACGCCUGCCCAGUGCUGGAAGGUUAAGCUGAGGAGUGCAAGCUCUGAUGUGAAGCCCCAGUAAACGGCGGCCGUAACUCUAACGGUCCUAAGGUAGCGAAAUUCCUUGUCGGGUAAGUUCCGACCCGCAUGAAUGGCGUAACGAUCUCCACACUGUCUCCAACAUAGACUCAGCGAAAUUGAAUUCUCGGUGAAAAUGCCGGGUACCCGCAGCUAGACGGAAAGACCCUAUGAAGCUUUACUGUAGGUUCGUACUGGCAUAUUGAUACAUUUGCGUAGGAUAGGUGGGACGCUUUGAAGUCAGGAUUUCGGUUCUGAUGGAGCGGUUGGUGAAAUACCACCCUUGUGUAUUGAUAUGUCUAACCCGCGUUCAUGAAACAGGGCGGGGGACAGUGCGUGCUGGGCAGUUUGACUGGGGUGGUCGCCUCCCAAAUCGUACCGGAGGCGCGCGAAGGUUUGCUCAGGCUGGUCGGAAAUCAGCCGGUGAGUGCAAUGGCAAAAGCAAGCCUGACUGCAAGAGGGACACCUCGAGCAGAGACGAAAGUCGGUCAUAGUGACCCGGUGGUCCCGCAUGGAAGGGCCAUCGCACACGGAUAAAAGCUACUCUAGGGAUAACAGGCUGAUGCUACCCAAGCGUCCAUAGCGACGGUAGUGUUUGGCACCUCGAUGUCGACUCAUCGCAUCCUGGGGCUGGAGCAGGUCCCAAGGGUAUGGCUGUUCGCCAUUUAAAGCGGUACGUGAGUUGGGUUAAUAACGUCGUGAGACAGUUAGGUCCCUAUCUACUGUGGGCGUUGGAUAUUUGAGCGAACUUGACCUUAGUACGAGAGGACCGGGUCGAACGAACCACUGGUGUACCUGUUGUCGCGCCCGCGGCAUUGCAGGGUAGCUAUGUUCGGAACAGAUAACCGCUGAAAGCAUCUAAGCGGGAAGCUGGUCGCAAGAUAAGAUAUCCCCAUGAGUUCAGUUCUAGACUAGGACAUUGAUAGGUGGCAGGUGUAAGUCCGGUGACGGAUUCAGCUUAGCCAUACUAAUCGAACCAUUGACUUUUUAUC
Molecule: ribosomal RNA, 1267 nt
Filed under: Rickettsiales bacterium
Lineage: Bacteria; Pseudomonadati; Pseudomonadota; Alphaproteobacteria; Rickettsiales
Description: partial 23S ribosomal RNA
Rfam family: Bacterial large subunit ribosomal RNA
Source: RNAcentral